UUUUGGACAAUGGGGGCAACCCUGAUCCAGCAAUGCCGCGUGAGUGAAGAAGGCCUUCGGGUUGUAAAGCUCUUUUGUCAGGCAAGAAACACCGGCUCUAACACAGUCCGGGAAUGACGGUACCUGAAGAAUAAGCACCGGCUAACUACGUGCCAGCAGCCGCGGUAAUACGUAGGGCGCAAGCGUUAAUCGGAAUUACUGGGCGUAAAGGGCGUGUAGGCGGUACCAUAAGUCAGAUGUGAAAGCCCUAGGCUUAACCUAGGAAUUGCAUUUGAAACUGUGGAACUAGAGAUCGAGAGAGGUAAGUGGAAUUACGAGUGUAGAGGUGAGAUUCGUAGAUAUUCGUAAGAACACCAGGGCGAAGGCGACUUACGGCUCGAUACGACGCUAGAGGCGCGAGG
RNAcentral lists this ribosomal RNA (401 nucleotides) under uncultured bacterium. RNAcentral's name for it is "bacterial SSU rRNA". It matches the Rfam family "Bacterial small subunit ribosomal RNA", at positions 362 to 758 of the family's 1533-position model. The record is from RNAcentral.